GCUGGAAUCGCUAGUAAUCGCGGAUCAGAAUGCCGCGGUGAAUACGUUCCCGGGUCUUGUACACACCGCCCGUCACACCAUGGGAGUCGGAAAUGCCCGAAGUCUGUGACCCAACCGAAAGGAGGGAGCAGCCGAAGGCAGGUCGGAUGACUGGGGUGAAGUCGUAACAAGGUAUC
This 176-nucleotide ribosomal RNA is filed under the name uncultured bacterium. Its description in RNAcentral is "partial 16S ribosomal RNA". It matches the Rfam family "Bacterial small subunit ribosomal RNA", at positions 1325 to 1500 of the family's 1533-position model. The record is from RNAcentral.